GUAUUUAAAAACAGGAUUGCAGUUUAAAAAAACUCGUGAAUAUGUUGGGAUUUCUCGUAUUUUGUGCCGCAGCUUUUACAGUGACACCAGCUGUUGCUGAGAUUGGAAGUUGCUGUUGCCCAAACUCACUGAAAUACACCGUCAUAUCAGAACAUCUAACGUGGUUUCAAGCAUUUGAGGCCUGCGAACGACGUGGAUUAGAACUCGCAAGCAUUCACUCUCAAAGUGAGGAAGAUGCGAUUGAACUGGUGCUGGGAAAUAGCAACAAUAGAGUUGGAAAUGGAUUCUGGGUAUCUGCAACAUCCUUAGGAUCUUCAUUUGUAUGGUUCACUAGCGGUUCGGAGCUGAUCUACAAAAAUUUCGCUGGUGGUCAACCAGACAACCCAAAAACUGAAAAAUGUCUCGAAUUGUUUAGGCUAACGAACGGUACCUGGAAAUGGAAUUCUUUCCGCUGCGGUGUCGAGCUUUCGUAUAUUUGCCAGACCAAGCCAAAUUGCUGCUAUUUUAACUAAUUUGCUCAGAUCAGUUGUAUUAUUAUGUAGUCCUGAUUAGGGAAUACUUUUAAGCAUCGGAGUAAAAUAAAAAUUUUAAGUAUCAA
This is a long non-coding RNA of Dendroctonus ponderosae (mountain pine beetle), 598 nucleotides long. RefSeq lists it as uncharacterized. The transcript is spliced from 3 exons. The record is from RefSeq and is a predicted model, not a curated record. Lineage: Eukaryota; Metazoa; Arthropoda; Insecta; Coleoptera; Curculionidae.